Molecule: ribosomal RNA, 323 nt
Filed under: uncultured Pseudomonadota bacterium
Lineage: Bacteria; Pseudomonadati; Pseudomonadota
Description: bacterial SSU rRNA
Rfam family: Bacterial small subunit ribosomal RNA
Source: RNAcentral
AUUGAACGCUGGCGGUAUGCUUAACACAUGCAAGUCGAACGGCAGCAUGAUUUGUAGCAAUACAAAUUGAUGGCGAGUGGCGGACGGGUGAGUAACACGUAGGAAUCUACCCUAAAGCGGGGGAUAACCCGAGGAAACUCGGGCUAAUACCGCAUAAGUUCUGAGGAACAAAGCUGGGUUUACCUGGCACUUUAGGAGGAGCCUGCGUCUGAUUAGCUAGUUGGUGGGGUAAAGGCCUACCAAGGCGACGAUCAGUAGGUGGUCUGAGAGGAUGAUCACCCACACUGGGACUGAGACACGGCCCAGACUCCUACGGGAGGCUG